AUUGAACGCUGGCGGCAGGCCUAACACAUGCAAGUCGAGCGGAAGAAGGGUGCUUGCUCCUGGAUCCAGCGGCGGACGGGUGAGUAAUGCCUAGGAAUCUGCCUGUUAGUGGGGGAUAACGUCCGGAAACGGGCGCUAAUAACGCAUACGUCCUGAGGGAGAGAGUGGGGGAUCUUCGGACCUCACGCUGUCAGAUGAGCCUAGGUCGGAUUAGCUAGUUGGUGGGGUAAAGGCCUACCAAGGCGACGAUCCGUAACUGGUCUGAGAGGAUGAUCAGUCACACUGGAACUGGAACACGGUCCAGACUCCUACGGGAGGCAGCAGUGGGGAAUAUUGGACGAUGGGCGGAAGCCUGCACCAGCCGUGCCACGUGUGUGAAGAAGGUCUUCGGAUUGUAAAGCACUCUAAGGUGGGAGAAAGGGCAGUAAGUUAAUACCUUGCUGUUUUGACGUUACCAACAGAAUAAGCACCGGCUAACUACGUG
RNAcentral lists this ribosomal RNA (484 nucleotides) under uncultured bacterium. RNAcentral's name for it is "partial 16S ribosomal RNA". It matches the Rfam family "Bacterial small subunit ribosomal RNA", at positions 30 to 507 of the family's 1533-position model. The record is from RNAcentral.